This 468-nucleotide ribosomal RNA is filed under the name uncultured bacterium. RNAcentral's name for it is "partial 16S ribosomal RNA". It matches the Rfam family "Bacterial small subunit ribosomal RNA", at positions 28 to 507 of the family's 1533-position model. The record is from RNAcentral.
GACGAACGCUGGCGGCGUGCUUAACACAUGCAAGUCGAACGGAAAGGCCCUGCUUUUGUGGGGUGCUCGAGUGGCGAACGGGUGAGUAACACGUGAGUAACCUGCCCUUGACUUUGGGAUAACUUCAGGAAACUGGGGCUAAUACCGGAUAGGAGCUCCUGCUGCAUGGUGGGGGUUGGAAAGUUUCGGCGGUUGGGGAUGGACUCGCGGCUUAUCAGCUUGUUGGUGGGGUAGGGGCUUACCAAGGCUUUGACGGGUAGCCGGCAUGAGAGGGUGACCGGCCACAUUGGGACUGAGAUACGGACCAGACUCCUACGGGAGGCAGCAGUGGGGAAUAUUGCACAAUGGGAUGAAGCCUGAUGCAGCGACGCCGCGUGCGGGAUGACGGCCUUCGGGUUGUAAACAGCUUUCGCCUGUGACGAAGCGUGAGUGACGGUAAUGGGUAAAGAAGCACCGGCUAACUACGUG